Tachysurus vachellii is the source of this 1101-nucleotide long non-coding RNA. RefSeq lists it as uncharacterized. NCBI's taxonomy places the organism in Eukaryota, Metazoa, Chordata, Actinopteri, Siluriformes, Bagridae. The record is from RefSeq and is a predicted model, not a curated record. The transcript has 2 exons.
GCGCAAUGGCAGAUAGCAGUUUUCAGUUCAUACCUGCAUGAUUGUUUUAUGCUCUGUAUUGUGCGUUUAUGCCUUAAUGUGAAAGAUGCCUUACUAGAGCCCAAGCAGACUGAUCUACACUCCCUGAAACCAGGAGAUCAUGGUUAAAGAUUUCUGGCGAAAUAACUGGAAGGCGUGUAGAGGUGGCUAGGUCUGUUAGAGAUCCUGCUGAUGAUGCAGACUGCCCUGAAGAUCAUGGAGAGAGCCAAGUGGAUACAUGCCAGCCAUUGCAAGAAAGUUCCAGCGCAAUCUAUAUGAACCAUCCAAGAGACAUUCUGAACUUUCAGAAGACCAGAGGCAAGAAAGAAAGGGAAAGGGAAAGACCUGUGUUGUGUAAACUCUGAACAUUGCAAGAUCAAAACAGUCUUACAGGAGGCAUGUUUGGCAAGGACUCAUAUCACCUGAUGGACAAGAACCAUGGCUAAUUUAAUAGAAGGGGAUCUGUUCAUGUCUCUGCAGGAUCACUCCCUAAGCCAUUGCUAGGGAGUGGACCUGUGUAUGGGAGCAGGAAUCGCUGUGGCUUUUAGAUAAAGUUUCAGAAAUGAGUUUACUGGGCAAUAUGCUGUGCUUAAAGAAGAAAACAGAUACAUCUAUUAUCUAGUGACUAAAGCCCACAGCAGAGAUAAACCUACUUAUACUACGCUCAAGUAACAUUUUUUGAACAUGAAAGCUCAUUGCCUAAAAUACAGUGUUAAGCAUGUUAGUAUGCCAAAAAUUUCCUAAAGGACAAAAAGGAGGGAAAUGUACUGGAAAUUUUUAAUUCUGUAACCAUAUAUGACUUAUCUAGUUUAACUAACAAUAUGUACAUGACUGAAAAUGCUUCUCCUUUCUUACAGACAGACACACAGACACAAACACACUAACUACAGAAAGGUCAGCAAUUGAAGGUAUCACCAGAAAAGGAGUUGUUUUCCUUAAACACAGUUUCAGUCUGGGUCUGGGGCCAGGGGAAGAGGAAGAGGAAGUAUGAAGAGGAAGUACCUCUAUCACAUUCUUGCUUUUGUAUGUGUGUGUGACAGAUGUCUCUGUGCAGAGAAUAAAGUUACUUGCUGUUUUCAUUUA